GAGGUUAAUGCUAUUACCAAGCCAUGACCCAUCAAUUUGGGGAAACCAAUGUUCCCCAUAUCAAAUUCCACAAUAAUUCACCCAUUCAGUCCCAAAAAUCAUCAAUUUGAUUAUACACAAGACAUUUAAAGUAUGGGAAAUAUUAUUCAAGUGAUAAUCAUCAAAAGCCCUCAACCCAAUUUCAAACCCAAUAAUUAAGCACAUAAAUAAUAAUUAAAA
RNAcentral lists this long non-coding RNA (219 nucleotides) under Capsicum annuum. RNAcentral's name for it is "long non-coding RNA (CANN_LNC013958)". Lineage: Eukaryota; Viridiplantae; Streptophyta; Magnoliopsida; Solanales; Solanaceae. The record is from RNAcentral.